AACGAACGCUGGCGGCAUGCCUAACACAUGCAAGUCGAACGAGAUCUUCGGGUCUAGUGGCGCACGGGUGCGUAACGCGUGGGAAUCUGCCCUUUGGUUCGGAAUAACAGUUGGAAACGACUGCUAAUACCGGAUGAUGACGAAAGUCCAAAGAUUUAUCGCCAGAGGAUGAGCCCGCGUAGGAUUAGCUAGUUGGUGUGGUAAAGGCGCACCAAGGCGACGAUCCUUAGCUGGUCUGAGAGGAUGAUCAGCCACACUGGGACUGAGACACGGCCCAGACUCCUACGGGAGGCAGCAGUGGGGAAUAUUGGACAAUGGGCGAAAGCCUGAUCCAGCAAUGCCGCGUGAGUGAUGAAGGCCUUAGGGUUGUAAAGCUCUCUUACCCGGGAUGAUAAUGACAGUACCGGGAGAAUAAGCUCCGGCUAACUCCGUGCCAGCAGCCGCGGUAA
Molecule: ribosomal RNA, 449 nt
Filed under: uncultured bacterium
Lineage: Bacteria
Description: partial 16S ribosomal RNA
Rfam family: Bacterial small subunit ribosomal RNA
Source: RNAcentral